Amblyraja radiata (thorny skate) is the source of this 386-nucleotide long non-coding RNA. RefSeq lists it as uncharacterized. The record is from RefSeq and is a predicted model, not a curated record. The transcript is spliced from 3 exons. Lineage: Eukaryota; Metazoa; Chordata; Chondrichthyes; Rajiformes; Rajidae.
AUUUUCUUUUUAAAAGAGAGAAUUCUUCUGUCAUCAGCUGUGGAGGUCUUUCUUGGCCUGCUAGUCCCUUUGCGAUUAGCAAGCUCCCCAGUGCUCUUUCUUUUUAAUGAUGCCCUAAACAGUUGAUUUUGGUAAACCUAACGUUUGGCUGAUGUCUGUUAACAGUUUUAUUCUUGUUUCUCAGUCUCAUAAUGGCUUCUUUGACUUUCGUUGGCACAACUUUGGUCCUCAUGUUGAUAAACAGCAAAAAAAGUUUCCAAAGGUGAUGGAAAGACUAGGUGCCAAGAGCUCUCUUAUAACUGCAUUAGGGAGGCAUUUAAACACACCUGAGUAAUUACAAACACCUAUGAAGCCAUGUGUCCCAAACAUUAUGGUGCCAUGAAAUG